GCGUACAGCUCUCUUGCUAUUUCUUCAAAAGUUGAUUUUCGUCUCAAUAGAUGCCAUGGAAAUAUGAGUUUGAGACAUGGACAAUUGAGGAUUUAGCUGUUAUUGCACUGGGAACUGUUGUUGCUCAAGAGGAUGAGGGGGGCAUUGAGACAGCCAUGAUUACAGGUUGAAGGAACAGUCUUUGAUUUGCCAGAUGAUGUUGCAAAAGAGCUUCUUUUGAAGAAGAUACAACCAGGUUAUACGAUAUCAGCAAUCACCGAGCAUGUUGCAGAUGAUCGAGGCAUGAAUGUUGGAGCUAUUGCAUGUUUGCGGUAUUGAUUUGGGUCCAGACUAUGUCUUAGAUGAUAUUGUUUUGGUCCGCAUGUAUUGUUGUAGCCUGUGAGGAUAUUAUUUUGUAAUUUGUAUUGAGAGUUUAGCCGACCUUGAAAUACAGGUUGAUGGAUUUGUAUAAAUAUAUGUAAUAAUCUUGUAAGAUGUAUGUCUGCAUUGUAUAUGCGAGUGAAUGAUCGAGUUGGAUGUGCGAACAAGUGAUUUAAUCUUUUGUAAGUGUGAAGGAGAAGAGAAGUGUUGCAGAGCAGACUAUGUGCUUGACCGGAACUAUACUCAAGCAUAUGGAGAUGUUAUUUUCAUAGUUCAUAUAAUCCGGAUUUUAGUCUGAAUGUUUUUAUAAGUUAGUGAGACUUCUUGUAAGGCAAUGAGCCUUCCCUUAAGGUUGUAGCCUUUCUGGGUUUCUUAUUUUGAGUAGUCAGCUCUAGGCAGUGUGUCUAAAUGCAUGUGCAUUCCCAUUGUAAUAUUCAUGUUUACUCCUAACAUGGUACUAUCUCAUUGUGGGUAGGUUCCCACCAUGGUUUUGCCCUUAAUCGGGUUUUCCAUGUCAAAAAUCUUGUUGUUAUGUGUGUUAUUGA
Cryptomeria japonica (Japanese cedar) is the source of this 905-nucleotide long non-coding RNA. RefSeq lists it as uncharacterized. NCBI's taxonomy places the organism in Eukaryota, Viridiplantae, Streptophyta, Pinopsida, Cupressales, Cupressaceae. The record is from RefSeq and is a predicted model, not a curated record. The transcript has 3 exons.